This 467-nucleotide ribosomal RNA is filed under the name uncultured bacterium. Its description in RNAcentral is "partial 16S ribosomal RNA". It matches the Rfam family "Bacterial small subunit ribosomal RNA", at positions 28 to 507 of the family's 1533-position model. The record is from RNAcentral.
GACGAACGCUGGCGGCGUGCUAACACAUGCAAGUCGAACGGAAAGGCCCUGCUUUUGUGGGGUGCUCGAGUGGCGAACGGGUGAGUAACACGUGAGUAACCUGCCCUUGACUUUUGUUUAACUUCAGGGAACUGUGGCUAAUACCGUAUAGGAGCUCCUGCUGCAUGGUGGGGGUUGGAAAGUUUCGGCGGUUGGGGUUGGACUCGCGGCUUCUCAGCUUGUUGGUGGGGUAGUGGCUUACCAAGGCUUUGACGGGUAGCCGGCCUGAGAGGGUGACCGGCCACAUUGGGACUGAGAUACGGCCCAGAGUACUACGGGAGGCAGCAGUGGGGAAGAUUGCAAAAUGGGCGGAAGCCUGAUGCAGAAACGCCGCGUGCGGGAUGACGGCCUUCGGGUUGUAAACCGCUUUCGCCUGUGACGAAGCGUGAGUGACGGUAAUGGGUAAAGAAGCACCGGCUAACUACGUG